GCCGGGCAUGGUGGCUCAUGCCUGUAAUCCCAGCAUUUUGGGAGGCUGAGGCAGGUGGAUUGCUUGAGCCCAGGAGUUCAAGACCAGCCUGGGUAACAUGGUAAAACCCUGUCUCUA
RNAcentral lists this non-coding RNA (117 nucleotides) under Chlorocebus sabaeus (green monkey). Lineage: Eukaryota; Metazoa; Chordata; Mammalia; Primates; Cercopithecidae. RNAcentral also lists the same sequence under 2 other names. The record is from Rfam by way of RNAcentral.